UCAGACUGGUUGGUUUCUCUUUCUGGUCUGGUCUUUUUGGUUUCUUGUUAUUUUCUGCUUUGUGUUGAAAUGUUUCCUCUGUGAAAAUGAUCAAGACGUUUGUGGUUAACUUCCUGAUUUCAGAUAAAUUUCCAUCACAUGUUUAGUGACUCACUGAAAAGGUGUUAAGUUAAAAAGAAAAACCCUGCAAACCUGCUGCUGUUUAUAAAGCAUUCUUCAUAAUGGUGUAUAAAACCUUUUAAAAUUAAUGAACAGCAGUCGUACUGUACAGUAAUUUUAUUUUUAUUUUUUAGGGACUGACCCACAUGCAGUUUAUGCAUCUGUGAAGACAAAUGAGGUUAAAAAUCAUCAGAGAAGCAGAACCAGAGAGUUUCCACCAGGAGCAGAUGUUUCCUAAUCUUCAAUGAGUUCAUCGGUCACAUCCUGGUGACCAGAUUUCAACUCGCGCCUCCACGGCCUUCAAUCUGGCUAAACAAAAAAUGCCUUAAAUAAUCUUUUUUGCAAA
Long non-coding RNA from Poecilia latipinna (sailfin molly), 505 nucleotides. RefSeq lists it as uncharacterized. NCBI's taxonomy places the organism in Eukaryota, Metazoa, Chordata, Actinopteri, Cyprinodontiformes, Poeciliidae. The transcript is spliced from 2 exons. The record is from RefSeq and is a predicted model, not a curated record.